GCGCGGAAAAUUACCGGGGCUAAACUAUACACCGAAAUUUCGGAUUUACGUAUGAAAAUAUGUAAGUGGUAGAGGAGCAUUCUGUAGUAGGACGAAGUCAAAGCGAAAGCAUUGGUGGACGAGGCAGAAGAGAGAAUGCUGGAAUAAGUAGCGAGAGCAAGGUGAGAAUCCUUGCCGUCGAAAGUCUAAGGUUUCCUGGGGAAGGUUCGUCCGCCCAGGGUAAGUCGGGGCCUAAGGAGAGGCCGAAAGGCGUAUCUGAUGGAUAGCAGGUGGAGAUUCCUGCACUAUAGCUAGUUUUAAAAGAUGCAAGGGACGCAGUAGAGGAAGAUAACCAAGGAAGAGGAAAGACUUGGUCCGCAAGGGAUAGUGAAAAUUAAUAGUAACGAAAUAUCAAGAAUCACACUGACGAGAAAAGCUUGUAGAUAUUAACUAGAAAUACCCGUACCGCAAACCGACACAGGUAGAUGAGGAGAGGAUCCUAAGACGAGCGGGAGAAGCAUUGUUAAGGAACUCGGCAAAAUAACCCCGUAACUUCGGGAGAAGGGGAACCUAAGUAAAAUUAGGUCGCAGAGAAAAGGCCCAAGCAACUGUUUAACAAAAACACAGGUUUCUGCAAAAUCGAAAGAUGAAGUAUAGGAGCUGACGCCUGCCCAGUGCUGGAAGGUUAAGGGAAAGAGUUAGAUGUAAGUCGAAGCUUAGAACUAAAGCCCCAGUGAACGGCGGCCGUAACUAUAACGGUCCUAAGGUAGCGAAAUUCCUUGUCAGGUAAGUUCUGACCCGCACGAAAGGCGUAAUGAUUUGGGCACUGUCUCGACAAUGUACCCGGCGAAAUUGUAGUACUAGUGAAGAUGCUAGUUACCUGCGACAAGACAGAAAGACCCCAUGGAGCUUUACUGCAGUUUGAUACUGGGUUUCGAUAAGUUAUGUACAGGAUAGGUGGGAGACAAAGAAAGAAAGGCGUCAGCUUUUCCGGAGUCACCGUUGGGAUACCACCCUUAAUUUGUUGGAAUUCUAACUAGUGGUCAUGAUCUGGCCAGAGGACAAUGUCAGACGGGCAGUUUGACUGGGGCGGUCGCCUCCAAAAGAGUAACGGAGGCGCCCAAAGGUUCCCUCAGUGCGGACAGAAAUCGCACGAAAGAGUGUAAAGGCAGAAGGGAGCUUAACUGGAAGAUAGACAUAUCGAGCAGAUACGAAAGUAGGGCUUAGUGAUCCGGUGGAUAUUGAAUGGAAAAGCCAUCGCUCAACGGACAAAAGUUACCCUGGGGAUAACAGGCUUAUCUCCCCCAAGAGUUCACAUCGACGGGGAGGUUUGGCACCUCGAUGUCGGCUCAUCGCAUCCUGGAGCGGAAGUACGUUCCAAGGGUUGGGCUGUUCGCCCAUUAAAGCGGUACGCGAGCUGGGUUCAGAACGUCGUGAGACAGUUCGGUCCUUAUCUGUCGCAGGCGGAAGAUAUUUGAGAGGAGCUGUCCUUAGUACGAGAGGACCAGGAUGGACAUACCGAUGGUGUAUCAGUUGUCACACCAGUGGCACGGCUGAGUAGCCAAGUAUGGACGGGAUAAACGCUGAAAGCAUCUAAGUGUGAAGCCCACCUCAAGAUAAGAUAUCUCAUAUCGU
This 1614-nucleotide ribosomal RNA is filed under the name human gut metagenome. RNAcentral describes it as "bacterial LSU rRNA". It matches the Rfam family "Bacterial large subunit ribosomal RNA", at positions 1161 to 2822 of the family's 2925-position model. The record is from RNAcentral.